UUUACAAAUCUAAUUUGGCAACACGGUUUUCUUGACAAGAAUUUUUACAACGCGCGACAAAACAAGAAAAACACAGAGAAGCAAAAUACUGAAAAUAAGUAACGUCAUGGGACUCAUGGCAUGUAUUACCAGUGUUUAGAAAUCCCCCAUGAACAAGGUUUAUCAGUUUCUAUGGAAAUCUUCCAGAGAAACAUGCCCUACCCUGCGAUUUUUUGGUCGAGGGGACUUUUUCUACCACACAAGGGCAAGAUGCCCUUUUGCUUCAAGAGAUUACUUCAAAACAUCAGCAGUGUCGUCAAGAUGUUGGGGUAUGGAGCUAAGAAGUUGGAAUCGGUGGUCUUUAACAAAAGUCACUUUGAGAACUUUGCAUGUGAUGUAGUCAGCAAGCAAUACUACAUUGAAAUCUACAAUGGAUCCAAAAGUGACUGGUCUCUCCAAUAUCAAUUGGCAUUCUAGCUCAAAAUUGGCUCAGAAAAUCAAAUAGGAUGCAGCUAAUGUAGAUACUUAUGCAAGAAAGAUUCUUUUGACACAGUUUUCAGAAAACAUGCCAAUGAUGCCUUCUCAAAUUUAGAAUCUCUCAUCGUCCAAGAGGUUUUGAUUCCACAUGGACGCCUACGUUGCGCCGAAAACAAUUCUGAACCGGCAUGGACUGCUAAUAGUAAAUGAAAACAAGUCAGCUGAGUUUUCAUCCACAGCUGAAUCAGUUCGAUUACUUAAUCGAACUUAAUCGAUCUCUCUAUUGCGCUUCAAAAAAGGACAACAAGAAAACGCAGCUGCGCUUCCUGAAGUCAGUUUAGAUCAUUCCAUGGCAGUUCUGGCCGCCUUAGUCAAACAUCUAGACCCAAUGACCGACGAAACAAACUUUGGAAAGUACAGUCUACAUAAGUUUGAUUUUACUCAAUACUACAUGAGACUUGAUUCGGCAGCAUCCGCCGCCUUGCAUCUGACUUCGUACGGAGCUGAAGUCUCCACGAUGGUGACGUCCAAAGCUGGAGCUCCUCGUACAAUCGCUGCCCAGCUGCUUCUCAAACUUCGGGUGGGCAGCAACUGUUGGCUCAGUGGAUCAAACAUCCUCUACAGAUAAAAACAGGAUUAAUAGGCUACGUCUAGAUGUCGUAGAAACAUUCGUCAACGAUGUCCAGCUAAGACAAACGAUAACAGAGGAUCACCUCCGACGGAUGCCGGAUUACCAAUGACUAUAGCCAAGAAGUUACAAAAGUCUAAAGCAAAUUUACAAGAUCUCUACAAGUUGUACUUGGGCUUGAGUCGCUUGUCGGUACUGGUCGACUGCUUACUGGAGAACCAGGGGGAUCAUGCCGCUGUUGUUAUAGGCGUGCUCAUCCAGCCAUUACGAAAUGCGAACGAAAAGCUUGUCAAAUUAAGGUAGAGACAACUAUAGACCUCAAUCAAGCAAAUCAAGGCGAGUUUAUCGUCAUGACCAACUAGGAGAGCUCAAAAAUGAACUAGAUGAUUGCGGCUCGAGAGCUGAAAAGGUCCUCUCCUGAGCGGCAUCCGAUCUCAAGCUGGGGACUUCCAAGAGCGUCAAAUUGGAGAGCAACGCACAGAUCGGAUAUUAUUUCCGAGUCACCCUGAAGGAUGAAAAGAAUCUUCGCAACAUCCGCAAUUAUACCAUACAAUUGAUACUAAUAAAAAUGGCGUACGAUUCCGGAACUCUGCCUUGGAAGAAGUCGACGAAACUUACUUGAAAGUACGCCGUGAUUAUGAGCAACAACAAAGUUUCAGUUGUCAGUCGCUGUUGGAUACGUUGAACCUCUGCAGUCGUUGAACGAUGCCUUGUCAAAGCUGGAUGUACUGACAAGUUUCGCCGUAUGUUCAAUUAGCGCUCCAAUUCGGUACGUCAGACCGUAAAUCUUGGAGAAAGGAUCGGGGAGCACUGAACUAAUUCAAGUCAGACAUCCGUGCAUAGAACCCCAAGACGGAGUUAAUUUCAUUACCAACGACAACAUCUUUCACAAAGAUGGGCAUCGUUUCUACAUUAUUAUCGGGCCCAAUAUGGGUUGAUGCCAUUUUAACUGGAGUCGGAGCUGGUGAUUGCCAUCUCAAAGGCAAAUCAAUUUUCAUGGCUGAAAUUAUUGAGACUGCCAACAUCACCCGAGU
This is an RNA transcript of Daphnia pulex (common water flea), 2118 nucleotides long. It is a transcript of the gene named DNA mismatch repair protein Msh2-like, with no coding region annotated. NCBI's taxonomy places the organism in Eukaryota, Metazoa, Arthropoda, Branchiopoda, Diplostraca, Daphniidae. The record is from RefSeq and is a predicted model, not a curated record. The transcript has 11 exons.